RNAcentral lists this long non-coding RNA (321 nucleotides) under Androctonus crassicauda. Lineage: Eukaryota; Metazoa; Arthropoda; Arachnida; Scorpiones; Buthidae. The record is from RNAcentral.
UUGUUAUAUAUAUGCUAUAGAUAUUUUAUUUCUAAUAAAUGAUUUCUUUGAUAACCUUUUUAAUAAAUUUUUUGGUGAAUGAGUGUUAUGAAAUUUCUGCAAAAAUAUCAUUGGAUAGCAACAGCCAAUUUUCAUAUUUCCAUCAUAGAAAUAUUACUCAUAAAUACAACUGAUCCAACACAAACAACACAUGACAAUUGCUGGAAAUGGAGUAGACGUUACCAGCAUUCAGAUACUACAUUUGUCUUUACAUUUUUUAAAAAUUGUUUCAUACAAUUAAAAUAUUAUCUAAUAUUUUUUGAGUAUGUUAUAAUAAAUUAC